AGGCCUAGACUGGUGUCAAUAUU
Molecule: microRNA, 23 nt
Filed under: Tetranychus urticae (two-spotted spider mite)
Lineage: Eukaryota; Metazoa; Arthropoda; Arachnida; Trombidiformes; Tetranychidae
Description: tur-miR-92-5p
Gene: tur-miR-92-5p
Source: miRBase by way of RNAcentral